UACACUGAAACCAAGUUUACACCCGUGAAAUGGCAGCUGAUAAUGGACAACUGGAUUCACCAAUUCACUCUACUUUGAAAAGACGGCGGAACAUCAUGCGGUCAUUUAUGAAGCGGUCCUGGUAUAUAAUUUCCAGUCGCGAAGUAGACAGGCAAUGAGCACAUUCUUGAGAGAGACCUACAUCUUCGGGAAAA
Long non-coding RNA from Armigeres subalbatus, 194 nucleotides. RefSeq lists it as uncharacterized. The record is from RefSeq and is a predicted model, not a curated record. Lineage: Eukaryota; Metazoa; Arthropoda; Insecta; Diptera; Culicidae. The transcript is spliced from 3 exons.